Molecule: long non-coding RNA, 461 nt
Organism: Mastomys coucha (southern multimammate mouse)
Lineage: Eukaryota; Metazoa; Chordata; Mammalia; Rodentia; Muridae
Exons: 2
Source: RefSeq, a predicted model, not a curated record
CCUCCCCCUUCGUCAAGUGGGACCUACCUCUGUGACCACAAGGCAUCAGCCAAAUGGCAUCAGCUGAUACCUAGGGAUUUCAAGAGUCCCAUAGCAGAUGUUGUCCUUUAACCUAAGCUGGAUUCGAUACAGAAGUCCAGGGACUGGCAGCAAAACUGGGCCCAGAUGGCAUGUGGGAAAGUCCCAGGUCUUCACCCUCGGCCUUCCUUGGCCCUAAAAUGACGAGGAACAGGAAGCCCCUGCCUGUGAAAGGGCCGGGAAAGACACAAGCCCCGUGGUUCCUUUAAAGGCACCUGCGACCUCAGAGUCUCCCCAUCCCACUUGCUGCCCUCAUAACUAAGCCCAGUUUCCCAGUGUGUCAACUCCUGAAGGCUUCAGUGGGUCCUUACUGUGUUGGCCGACUUUUCUGUCACUGUAACAAGAAUUUGCCCAGAGCAUCUUAAAGAAAACUGCUCCACAAA